Molecule: non-coding RNA, 129 nt
Filed under: Chromera velia
Lineage: Eukaryota; Chromeraceae
Source: RNAcentral
AGGAAAGGAAUUGCAGCAGAAGGGAGAAGAAAGAAAGCGACGAAAUUUCACCAACAAGAACGCCAUUCAGGAGUCAGUUAGAAACAAAGAGAAAUGUGUGAACAGAAGCGAGAGGAGAAAACGCGCUCU